UGCCUAACACAUGCAAGUCGAACGGGGGUAGCAAUACCCUAGUGGCGAACGGGUGAGUAACACAUAAGCAAUCUGCCCUUCACAGGGGGAUAACAGCGGGAAACUGCUGCUAAUACCGCAUAAGACCACAGUACCGCAUGGUACAGGGGUAAAAACGAAUCAGUGGUGAAGGAUGAGCUUAUGUCCCAUUAGCUAGUUGGUGAGAUAACAGCCCACCAAGGCGACGAUGGGUAGCCGACCUGAGAGGGUGAUCGGCCACACUGGAACUGAGACACGGCCCAGACUCCUACGGGAGGCAGCAGUGGGGAAUAUUGGGCAAUGGAGGGAAAAACCUCUUACCCAGCAAUGCCGCGUGAGUGAAGAAGGUCUUCGGAUUGUAAAGCUCUUUGAUUGGGGACGAAGAAAGUGACGGUACCCAAAGAACAAGCCCCGGCUAACUACGUGCCAGCAGCCGC
Molecule: ribosomal RNA, 455 nt
Filed under: uncultured bacterium
Lineage: Bacteria
Description: bacterial SSU rRNA
Rfam family: Bacterial small subunit ribosomal RNA
Source: RNAcentral